ACGCUGGCGGCGUGCCUAAUACAUGCAAGUAGAACGCUGAAGGAGAAGCUUGCUUCUCUGGAUGAGUUGCGAACGGGUGAGUAACGCGUAGGUAACCUGCCUGGUAGCGGGGGAUAACUAUUGGAAACGAUAGCUAAUACCGCAUAAUAGUAGAUGUUGCAUGACAUUUGCUUAAAAGGUGCAAUUGCAUCACUACCAGAUGGACCUGCGUUGUAUUAGCUAGUUGGUGGGGUAACGGCUCACCAAGGCGACGAUACAUAGCCGACCUGAGAGGGUGAUCGGCCACACUGGGACUGAGAUACGGCCCAGACUCCUACGGGAGGCAGCAGUAGGGAAUCUUCGGCAAUGGACGGAAGUCUGACCGAGCAACGCCGCGUGAGUGAAGAAGGUUUUCGGAUCGUAAAGCUCUGUUGUAAGAGAAGAACGAGUGUGAGAGUGGAAAGUUCACACUGUGACGGUAUCUUACCAGAAAGGGACGGCUAACUACGUGCCAGCAGCCGCGGUAAUACGUAGGUCCCGAGCGUUGUCCGGAUUUAUUGGGCGUAAAGCGAGCGCAGGCGGUUAGAUAAGUCUGAAGUUAAAGGCUGUGGCUUAACCAUAGUACGCUUUGGAAACUGUUUAACUUGAGUGCAAGAGGGGAGAGUGGAAUUCCAUGUGUAGCGGUGAAAUGCGUAGAUAUAUGGAGGAACACCGGUGGCGAAAGCGGCUCUCUGGCUUGUAACUGACGCUGAGGCUCGAAAGCGUGGGGAGCAAACAGGAUUAGAUACCCUGGUAGUCCACGCCGUAAACGAUGAGUGCUAGGUGUUAGACCCUUUCCGGGGUUUAGUGCCGUAGCUAACGCAUUAAGCACUCCGCCUGGGGAGUACGACCGCAAGGUUGAAACUCAAAGGAAUUGACGGGGGCCCGCACA
Molecule: ribosomal RNA, 910 nt
Filed under: uncultured bacterium
Lineage: Bacteria
Description: bacterial SSU rRNA
Rfam family: Bacterial small subunit ribosomal RNA
Source: RNAcentral